Molecule: long non-coding RNA, 1986 nt
Organism: Nycticebus coucang (slow loris)
Lineage: Eukaryota; Metazoa; Chordata; Mammalia; Primates; Lorisidae
Exons: 5
Source: RefSeq, a predicted model, not a curated record
GUUUUUGGCUGGGGCCAGGUUUGAACCCACCACCUCUGGUAUAUGGGGCCAGCGCCUUACUCCUUUGAGCCUUUUGAAAGCACAGGGUGUCACAAAAGUUGCCUCUGAAGUUGUCAUACAUAAGGAAACUGGAUUUCAACUCUUCAAGUUCUGAAUGAUAUUGACAGUGACAAUGGUCAUAAUUCUUAUUGGUCAAUCCUUCCUCCCAAAUUCUGGAAACACCAUUCUUCCCAUUUGCCCUUCAGGCCUAGAGUUGGUUAUGAAGUCUAAGCAUUGGCUUGAAAGGCAUAAACUAAAUGAAGAAAAGAGUCUAUGGAAGGUCAAUUGAAUACAAGAUGGAAUUUGGAAUGUCCAUAAAUACAUGAGACUUGAAAAGAGCAUGGAAUAUCUGAGCGACGAUGGCAGUAAGGGCUCCUUAAGAAGACAUGGAUUCCCGAUCAUGACACUAAUUGCUAUCUUGGUUCCAGAGCCAAUCAGAGCAAAUUGAAAAGGAGCUUAAGUCUAAUACCUUUCCUCUUUUUCAGUUGAUUUUCCCUCCCUCAGUCCCAGUGAGGUUAGGAGGGCACUUACUUUAAACCAUACAGUUAAUCAUAUUAGCUAACAUUAAGUAAGCACUCUGCUAAGAAAUCUAUAAUCCUAGCCUCACUUAAUCUUCAUGUAGUAAGUACUACUGUGAUAACAGUGAGGCAGAAGACUCGUUCAGUUUCUGACUCCACCACUUAUAACUAACCACAUAGGCAAGUUACUUAGCAAUCUGUGACUAUGCGUCCCCAUUUUUAAAAUGCAUAUAUCAGCAUUAACAACAAUAAUCAUCAUAAUAAUACAUUGGCAAGCCAUUUAACAUAUUAAUUCCAUCCGACAGAAACACAUUUCUAAAUGUCUGUUAGAUCCUUGACUAUUACACCCAUCUGGCAUUCCUAUCACUCCUUUUCCCAUGGAAAUAGACUCCACAAGAGGAAGAAAGAAAAGGAAAGGGGGAGGCCCUCCAUCAUCUCCAUCUUUGAUAGGGUUUGACCUUGAGUAGAUCAUUUCACAACAUCAUUGUGCCUCCACAAUAGGAGAAAAGGACAAAGAAAGGAAAGGCUUUCCUGUAUUAUGCCCAAAGCCCAGCCGACCUGGGUACAAACCACCCAGGAAAGUUCUUCACCUUCAUAAUGGGUCAAGCAGUGGUAAUAUAUUAUCUUAAAGAGGAGGUGGGCAUUGAUUUUGGAAGUAGUGAGUUAAAUAAGGCAGCUUGGUUGUGGACUCAGGAAUGCCCACUCACAGCCUUGCCUUUGGGCACCCCUGUGAUCCUCUGGCAUCCUCUGGAGGACAUGAAAAUGCUGGCUCAUAGCCUCAGGACCUUGUUCCUGACACAGAUUUCAUUCCACUUCCAAUAAAAUCAGUGAAGGUUCCCAGCUUUUCCCCACAUGCAUUACAAGCCCAUCAACCCCACAACAUGCAUCUGGGUAUAAGUCAUAGCAAAGAGUUUGGGAAUAGGUCAUAUUUUAAUUUUUCUUUCCAUACUGACAAAUGACAUGGGACUCCUUUGGGUGUACAUUUGACACCCUCAUGAAUACAAAAUGAAUUUAUUAUGAUUAGUGCUUUCACCUAGAAUACGACAUUAAUUCAUCAUGAUUGAUGGGCUACUUAAAAUAAAGUAGUAACCUUUUCCUAAGGUGGCUAGGUGACCCCACAUCCACUUCAUUAGUAAUAUUCCCUGAACUAUAUUUAUGUAAAUGAAAAAAGCUUUAUCCCUCACAGUUAAGCACAACUCUCAAUGUAACUACAUUUUAUACUAACCAAAAAGAAUUUUAUUUCAUUCCAGAAUAUUUGACAAUCUUUUAUUUCUACUUUUUAAAAAUGCUCACAAAUUAUCAUUAAAAAUAUAAAAUGAUCAAAUUUAAAUUAUAUUAAGAAGAGCUUUUUAUACCCCUUGUGUUUUGAAAAACUAUUAUUUAAUUCCAUGUGGAUAAACCAAUGAUGAGUCUUGCUCACAUGAUUAAA